This 838-nucleotide ribosomal RNA is filed under the name Septoria sp. RNAcentral's name for it is "partial large subunit ribosomal RNA". It matches the Rfam family "Eukaryotic large subunit ribosomal RNA", at positions 71 to 938 of the family's 3401-position model. Lineage: Eukaryota; Fungi; Ascomycota; Dothideomycetes; Mycosphaerellales; Mycosphaerellaceae. The record is from RNAcentral.
GGGAUUGCCCUAGUAACGGCGAGUGAAGCGGCAACAGCUCAAAUUUGAAAUCUGGCGCAAGCCCGAGUUGUAAUUUGUAGAGGAUGCUUCUGGGUAGCGACCGAUCUAAGUUCCUUGGAACAGGACGUCAUAGAGGGUGAGAAUCCCGUAUGUGACCGGCCCGCACCCUUUACGUAGCUCCUUCGACGAGUCGAGUUGUUUGGGAAUGCAGCUCUAAAUGGGAGGUAAAUUUCUUCUAAAGCUAAAUACCGGCCAGAGACCGAUAGCGCACAAGUAGAGUGAUCGAAAGAUGAAAAGUACUUUGGAAAGAGAGUUAAAAAGCACGUGAAAUUGUUGAAAGGGAAGCGCCUGCAACCAGACUUCGCGGCAGUGUUCCGCCGGUCUUCUGACCGGUUCAUUCUCUGUCGCGAGGCCAUCAUCGUCUGGGCCCGCCGGAUAAGACCUUAGGAAUGUAGCUCACCUUCGGGGGAGUGUUAUAGCCUAGGGUGAUGCGGCGAGGCUCGGGCGAGGUCCGCGCUUCGGCAAGGAUGAUGGCGUAAUGGUUGUCGGCGGCCCGUCUUGAAACACGGACCAAGGAGUCUAACAUCUAUGCGAGUGUUCGGGUGUCAAACCCCUACGCGUAAUGAAAGUGAACGGAGGUGGGAACCGCAAGGUGCACCAUCGACCGAUCCUGAUGUCCUCGGAUGGAUUUGAGUAAGAGCAUAGCUGUUGGGACCCGAAAGAUGGUGAACUAUGCCUGAAUAGGGUGAAGCCAGAGGAAACUCUGGUGGAGGCUCGCAGCGGUUCUGACGUGCAAAUCGAUCGUCAAAUUUGGGUAUAGGGGCGAAAGACUAAUCGA